RNAcentral lists this ribosomal RNA (472 nucleotides) under uncultured bacterium. RNAcentral describes it as "SSU rRNA". It matches the Rfam family "Bacterial small subunit ribosomal RNA", at positions 26 to 518 of the family's 1533-position model. The record is from RNAcentral.
AGAUUGAACGCUGGCGGCAUGCUUUACACAUGCAAGUCGAGCGGCAGCGCGGGGGCAACCCUGGCGGCGAGCGGCGAACGGGUGAGUAAUACAUCGGAACGUAUCCCGUAGAGGGGGAUAGCCCGGCGAAAGCCGGAUUAAUACCGCAUAUGCUCUACGGAGGAAAGUGGGGGACUCGCAAGGGCCUCACGCUAUGGGAGCGGCCGAUGGCCGAUUAGCUAGUUGGUGGGGUAAAGGCCUACCAAGGCGACGAUCGGUAGCUGGUCUGAGAGGAUGAUCAGCCACACUGGGACUGAGACACGGCCCAAACUCCUACGGGAGGCAGCAGUGGGGAAUAUUGGACAAUGGGCGCAAGCCUGAUCCAGCCAUGCCGCGUGAGUGAUGAAGGCCCUAGGGUUGUAAGCUCUUUUGUGCGGGAAGAUAAUGACGGUACCGCAAGAAUAACGCCCGGCUAACUCGUGCCAGCAGCCGC